AUGCUAGCUAAGCAAUGUUGGAGGCUCAUCACUAAUCCAGAUUCCUUGGUUGCAAAAGUACUCAAAGCUAAAUACUACCCCAAUGGAACUCUUUUGGAUGCUACCCCAAAGAAUGGGUCAUCAUUUACAUGGCAAAGUAUUUUAAAGGGCCUUGAUACAUUCAAGAAAGGUUACAUAUGGAGGAUUGGUACUGGUGAGGAGGUAAAUAUAUGGAGGGAUCCUUGGAUACCUUCAAGCUCAGAUAUGAAGGUAAUUACACCGAGAGGCCAAUCAAUUAUUACAAGAGUUUGUGAACUCAUUGAUCCGGUGACCGGGGAGUGGGAUGAACAGCUAUUACAGAGCCUUUUCUACCCUGUGGAUGUUAGAAGAAUACUUCAGAUCCCGCUCAACACACACGCAUUUGAGGAUUUCAUUGCCUGGCAACCUAAUCGCACCAGAAUUUUUUCAGUGAAAACUGCGUACCAUUUGCAAUGGAUGCACACUAAUAGGGCACAUGCAAAUAUGAUGGAGAGUGCAAGUCCCACGUAUGGUGGUUCAGCGCCUUUGGCAGUGUGGAAUACACUUUGGAAAGUGCAAGUCCCACGUAGAAUUCAGAUUUUUGGGUGGAGGGUUCUGCGAGGAAUCGUUCCGCUAAAAGCAAUCCUGACAAACAGACACAUUGGUUCUAAUGGGGCGUGCCCGAUAUGCCAUCAAGGUGCUGAGGAUAUUAGGCAUCUUUUAUUUCUAUGUGUGCAUGCAAAGGAAGUGUGGAGGCGUCUUGGGAUGUUGCAACUGGUGGAAGAUGUUGUA
Molecule: ribosomal RNA, 789 nt
Filed under: Triticum aestivum (bread wheat)
Lineage: Eukaryota; Viridiplantae; Streptophyta; Magnoliopsida; Poales; Poaceae
Description: partial small subunit ribosomal RNA
Source: RNAcentral